AUGACCAAGUAUGAUUACUUAUCAGUUAUAAGUUUAGAAACAUUUCCUCUGGGACAUGAUUAUAAUUCCAGAGAAAGCAUCAACAGAACACCACUCAGUCGCCUCUCCUUAGCUGCCCACCAUGACCACGACCAGGUCCACUCGCAGGUGUGCCAGGGCUACCCUCAGGACUUGGAGGUCGCCAUCAACUGCCAGAUCAACAUGGAGCACUACGCUUCCUACGUCUACCUGUCCAUGUCUUCCUACUUUGACCAUGAUGAUGUGGCUUUGAAGAACUUUGCCUAGUAUUUUCUUUACCAAUCUCAGGAGGAGAGGGAACAUGCCAACAAACUGAUGAAGCUACAGAACCAACGAGGUGGCCAAGUCUUCCUUCAGGAUAUCAAGAAACCAGACCGUGACUACUGGGAGAAUGGGCUGAAUGCAAUGGGGUGUGUGUUAUACUUGGGAAAAACGUGUCAAUCAGUCACUACUGGACUUGCACAAACUGGCCACUGACCAAAAUGACCCUCAUUUGUGUGACUUCAUUGAGACUCACUGCCUGAAUGAGCAGGUGAAAUCCAUCAAAGAACUGAGUGACCACGUAACCAACUUGCACAGGUUGGGGGCCCCGGAAUCUGGCAUGGUAGAGUAUCUCUUUGACAAGUACACCCUGGGAGACAGUGAUGAGAGCUAAGCCUUAAGCUGGCUU
RNA transcript from Myotis brandtii (Brandt's bat), 688 nucleotides. It is a transcript of the gene named ferritin heavy chain pseudogene, with no coding region annotated. Lineage: Eukaryota; Metazoa; Chordata; Mammalia; Chiroptera; Vespertilionidae. The transcript is spliced from 2 exons. The record is from RefSeq and is a predicted model, not a curated record.